CCGCCCCCCUCCCCGGGGGGGUGGCCAGCGCCCGCCAGAGGACCAUCAAACUCCAGUCAGUAAACGAUGCAGUCUGAAAAACAUUUAAUAAACUAAAACUUUCAACAACGGAUCUCUUGGUUCUGGCAUCGAUGAAGAACGCAGCGAAAUGCGAUAAGUAAUGUGAAUUGCAGAAUUCAGUGAAUCAUCGAAUCUUUGAACGCACAUUGCGCCCUUUGGUAUUCCGAAGGGCAUGCCUGUUCGAGCGUCAUUACAACCCUCAAGCUCUGCUUGGUAUUGGGCACCGUCCUUUGCGGGCGCGCCUCAAAGACCUCGGCGGUGGCGUCUUGCCUCAAGCGUAGUAGAACAUACAUCUCGCUUCGGAGCGCAGGGCGUCGCCCGCCGGACGAACCUUCUGAACUUUUCUCAAGGUUGACCUCGG
RNAcentral lists this ribosomal RNA (421 nucleotides) under Botryosphaeria dothidea. Its description in RNAcentral is "eukaryotic LSU rRNA". The stretch from base 97 to 250 matches the Rfam family "5.8S ribosomal RNA". Lineage: Eukaryota; Fungi; Ascomycota; Dothideomycetes; Botryosphaeriales; Botryosphaeriaceae. The record is from RNAcentral.